Molecule: transfer RNA, 71 nt
Filed under: Stegodyphus dumicola
Lineage: Eukaryota; Metazoa; Arthropoda; Arachnida; Araneae; Eresidae
Description: tRNA-Met
Rfam family: tRNA
About the family: Transfer RNA (tRNA) molecules are approximately 80 nucleotides in length. Their secondary structure includes four short double-helical elements and three loops (D, anti-codon, and T loops). Further hydrogen bonds mediate the characteristic L-shaped molecular structure. tRNAs have two regions of fundamental functional importance: the anti-codon, which is responsible for specific mRNA codon recognition, and the 3' end, to which the tRNAs corresponding amino acid is attached (by aminoacyl-tRNA synthetases). tRNAs cope with the degeneracy of the genetic code in two manners: having more than one tRNA (with a specific anti-codon) for a particular amino acid; and 'wobble' base-pairing, i.e. permitting non-standard base-pairing at the 3rd anti-codon position.
Source: RNAcentral
GCCUUCGUGGUGUAACGGUAGCACACUCGGCGCAUAUUCGAGAGGUCCAGGUUCGAAUCCUGCCGAGGGCA